Small nucleolar RNA from Mercurialis annua (annual mercury), 97 nucleotides. RefSeq annotates it as small nucleolar RNA R12. The record is from RefSeq and is a predicted model, not a curated record. NCBI's taxonomy places the organism in Eukaryota, Viridiplantae, Streptophyta, Magnoliopsida, Malpighiales, Euphorbiaceae. The transcript has a single exon.
GAGAGAAUGAUGAAAGAAAUUAUGCGGUUUCCUCUCGGUUGAUAUUAUUACUUUUUAGUAAUAAAUGAUAUUAAUCAAUUAGCGAAUUCUGACUCUC